CAAUAAGCGGAGGAAAAGAAACCAACAGGGAUUGCCCCAGUAACGGCGAGUGAAGCGGCAACAGCUCAAAUUUGAAAUCUGGCCCCCCCUUGGGGGGUCCGAGUUGUAAUUUGGAGAGGAUGCUUUGGGCGCGGCGCCUUCCGAGUGCCUUGGAACAGGACGCCGGAGAGGGUGAGAGCCCCGUACGGUAGGACGCCUAGCCCGUGUAAAGCUCCUUCGAACGAGUCGAGUAGUUUGGGAAUGCUGCUCAAAAUGGGAGGUAAAUUUCUUCUAAAGCUAAAUACUGGCCAGAGACCGAUAGCGCACAAGUAGAGUGAUCGAAAGAUGAAAAGCACUUUGAAAAGAGGGUUAAACAGCACGUGAAAUUGUUGAAAGGGAAGCGCCUGUGGCCAGACGUGCGCCCCGCGGACCACCCGCCGCUCUGCGGCGGGGCACUCCGCGGCGGCGCAGGCCAGCAUCGGCUCUCCGAGGGGGACAAAGGUCGCGGGAACGUAGCUCUUUCGGGAGUGUUAUAGCCCGCGGCGCCAUGCCCCUGGGGGGGCCGAGG
Molecule: ribosomal RNA, 547 nt
Filed under: Raffaelea tritirachium
Lineage: Eukaryota; Fungi; Ascomycota; Sordariomycetes; Ophiostomatales; Ophiostomataceae
Description: LSU rRNA
Rfam family: Eukaryotic large subunit ribosomal RNA
Source: RNAcentral